RNAcentral lists this ribosomal RNA (386 nucleotides) under Aphidius urticae. RNAcentral describes it as "partial 16S ribosomal RNA". Lineage: Eukaryota; Metazoa; Arthropoda; Insecta; Hymenoptera; Braconidae. The record is from RNAcentral.
AAAACAUGUCUUAUCGAUAAUAAUUUUAAGUCUAAUCUGCCCAAUGAAAAUUAAAUGGCUGCAGUAUCAAUAACUGUACAAAGGUAGCAUAAUAAUUAGUUUUUUAAUUGAAAACUAGAAUGAAAGAUUAAAUGAAAUAUAAACUUUAUAAAUAAAAUAAAAAUUUAAAUUAAAUUUUAAGUUAAAAUUCUUAAAUAUAAUUAAAAGACGAGAAGACCCUUUAGAAUUUUAUAUUAAACAUAAUUAAAUUUAUAAUAUUUUAAAUAUAAAUUAUAAUUAAUAUUUAAUUGGGGUAAUUUUAUAAUUUAAUAAACUUUUAAAUAAUUAUAACAUUAAUUAAUGAAUAUAUAAUCCUAAUUUUUAGUAUUUUAAAAUAAAUUACCUUA